This 489-nucleotide ribosomal RNA is filed under the name Triticum aestivum (bread wheat). Its description in RNAcentral is "partial small subunit ribosomal RNA". Lineage: Eukaryota; Viridiplantae; Streptophyta; Magnoliopsida; Poales; Poaceae. The record is from RNAcentral.
AUGGGCUCAAAAUCUAUCCCCACCACUCGCAUAUGUGCCAAGACCGGCGGCCGACGCGCCUACCCGUGCCAGAUUCUUCGAGGAUGGGUGGAACAGCAAGCGAUGGCAUGGAUUUGGAGGAGGAGGAUGAUGGGGGGACUGCGGCCGAUGGAAUGGUUGUGGUCGUUGUCUGGGCGGAGGAGGGGGAAGGGAGCAGCAGUCGGCGACGUGGAUGUACGGGGAGCUCUAGGCCUGGCUGCAUAUGCCGAACAGCCAAAGGAGGAGGAAACACAAGCUUGGCUGCAGCCGAGAGUGGACGGAGGAGGAAGCACAAGAAGGGAAGGGGAAGGGAGCAGCGGCCGGCUUCGUGGCUCCGUUUGCUGUGGUCUGGGCGCGCGCGGAGGAAUGGGAAGUGAGCUCAGGACUUCGCUGUUGAUUGUGAGGAAGCACGGGCGGUCGGCGGCAUUUAGGUUGGGUCUAAUUAGGGAGGCUAUUGCUACAACUAUUUAA